Molecule: ribosomal RNA, 1493 nt
Filed under: metagenome
Description: bacterial SSU rRNA
Rfam family: Bacterial small subunit ribosomal RNA
Source: RNAcentral
AGAGUUUGAUCCUGGCUCAGAUUGAACGCUGGCGGCAUGCUUUACACAUGCAAGUCGAACGGCAGCACGGGGCAACCUGGUGGCGAGUGGCGAACGGGUGAGUAAUAUAUCGGAACAUAUCCGGAAGUGGGGGAUAACGUACCGAAAGGUACGCUAAUACCGCAUAUGCCCUGAGGGGGAAAGGGGGGAUCGCAAGACCUCUCGCUUUCGGAGUGGCCGAUAUCGGAUUAGCUAGUAGGUGAGGUAAAGGCUCACCUAGGCGACGAUCCGUAGCUGGUCUGAGAGGACGACCAGCCACACUGGAACUGAGACACGGUCCAGACUCCUACGGGAGGCAGCAGUGGGGAAUUUUGGACAAUGGGCGAAAGCCUGAUCCAGCCAUGCCGCGUGAGUGAAGAAGGCCUUCGGGUUGUAAAGCUCUUUCAGCCGGAAAGAAAUUGCUUCUAUUAAUACUAGGAGUAGAUGACGGUACCGGAAGAAGAAGCACCGGCUAACUACGUGCCAGCAGCCGCGGUAAUACGUAGGGUGCGAGCGUUAAUCGGAAUUACUGGGCGUAAAGCGUGCGCAGGCGGUUUGGUAAGACAGACGUGAAAUCCCCGGGCUUAACCUGGGAACUGCGUUUGUGACUGUCAGACUAGAGUGUAGCAGAGGGGGGUAGAAUUCCACGUGUAGCAGUGAAAUGCGUAGAUAUGUGGAGGAAUACCAAUGGCGAAGGCAGCCCCCUGGGUUAACACUGACGCUCAUGCACGAAAGCGUGGGGAGCAAACAGGAUUAGAUACCCUGGUAGUCCACGCCCUAAACGAUGUCAACUAGGUGUUGGGGAAGGAGACUUCUUUAGUACCGCAGCUAACGCGUGAAGUUGACCGCCUGGGGAGUACGGUCGCAAGAUUAAAACUCAAAGGAAUUGACGGGGACCCGCACAAGCGGUGGAUUAUGUGGAUUAAUUCGAUGCAACGCGAAAAACCUUACCUACCCUUGACAUGUCAGGAAGAUUCCAGAGAUGGGAUUGUGCCCGAAAGGGAACCUGAACACAGGUGCUGCAUGGCUGUCGUCAGCUCGUGUCGUGAGAUGUUGGGUUAAGUCCCGCAACGAGCGCAACCCUUGUCAUUAAUUGCCAUCAUUUAGUUGGGUACUUUAAUGAGACUGCCGGUGAUAAACCGGAGGAAGGUGGGGAUGACGUCAAGUCCUCAUGGCCCCUAUGGGUAGGGCUUCACACGUAAUACAAUGGUCGGUACAGAGGGUUGCCAACCCGCGAGGGGGAGCCAAUCCCAGAAAGCCGAUCGUAGUCCGGAUUGUAGUCUGCAACUCGACUACAUGAAGUCGGAAUCGCUAGUAAUCGCGGAUCAGCAUGUCGCGGUGAAUAUGUUCCCGGGUCUUGUACACACCGCCCGUCACACCAUGGGAGUGGAAUCUGGCAGAAGUAGGUAGCCUAACCGCAAGGGGGGCGCUUACCACGCUGGGUUUCAUGACUGGGGUGAAGUCGUAACAAGGUA